This is an RNA transcript of Cyprinodon variegatus (sheepshead minnow), 4233 nucleotides long. It is a transcript of the gene named inactive ubiquitin carboxyl-terminal hydrolase 54-like, with no coding region annotated. NCBI's taxonomy places the organism in Eukaryota, Metazoa, Chordata, Actinopteri, Cyprinodontiformes, Cyprinodontidae. The record is from RefSeq and is a predicted model, not a curated record. The transcript is spliced from 21 exons.
GGACUGAGAAAGGAGGAGGGGGGACUGGAUGCGCCCACGGCUCGCCCUCUCUUCCGUCUGAUCACACGGUAGGACACGCGAUCGGAUGCGCUGCGCACUGGCGGCGACAGCAGCCGGGAUAAAGUGAAAGAGGAGAAGAAACCACAGGGAUGCCCACAUGAGAGCAGCAUUGCUGUCAGAACCACUUCUUUCUGAGAGAAUCUGCCAAAGGAUAAAUUGGAACUGCUCCCAUGGCUUCAAACUCAGACUUCUAAAUCCAUGGAGCUAAAAACAGCAAAACAACACAAUCCCUGGCAAACAUAAGUGGACCACUUCAGAAGAAAAAAAACACGGCUGGACAGUGGGAGGGUUGUAUGGGGUCCAAAUCCCUAUCCAAGACAUCUUGCAUCUCUUUAGUCCACAGCCGCCUCUUACCUCCUACUUUUACUCUAUUCUCCUGCUCUGCCUUUUUCCUAUUCUCCGUCUUUCUCUCUCAUGGGAGUGACAUAGAAGCUUUGCUUGGUCUUUUGCCCCGUCCUUUUCCUGCAUUCUUCAGGAAACAGGGACAUCCAGGUAGUGAUGUCGUGGAAGAGGAACUAUUUUGCCUCCGGUGGUGGAGCGGCUGCCGGGGUGCAGGGGCUGGUCACCCCGAGAACCAUGAACUCUAUUGCGCCCAGCAAAGGCCUGAGCAAUGAACCCGGACAAAACAGCUGCUUCCUCAACAGCGCUCUCCAGGUUUUGUGGCAUCUUGACAUCUUCAGGAGAAGCUUUCGUCAGCUGACCACUCACAAGUGCAUGGAGGACUCAUGUAUCUUCUGUGCUCUAAAGAGCAUCUUUGCUCAGUUCCAGUUCAGCAGCGAGCGUGUUCUGCCGUCGGACGCACUGCGGAGCGCUCUGGCCAAGACUUUCCAAGACGAACAGCGGUUUCAGCUGGGCAUCAUGGACGACGCUGCUGAAUGUUUUGAGAAUCUGCUGAUGCGUAUCCACUUCCACAUCAGCGCAGAGAGCAGGGAGGACAUCUGCACAGCCAAACACUGCAUCCCUCACCAGAAGUUUGCCAUGACUCUUUUUGAACAAUGUGUGUGCAGCAGCUGUGGAGCCUCAUCGGACCCCCUGCCCUUCAUUCAGAUGGUUCAUUACAUCUCAACCACGUCUCUCUGUAACCAGGCAGUGAGAAUGCUGGAGUGCAGAGAGAAACCAACGCCGGACAUGUUUGGAGAGCUGCUGCGCAAUGCCAGCAACAUGGGAGACCUUCGCAACUGCCCUAGUAACUGUGGGGAGGUUCUGCGUAUCCGACGGGUGCUGAUGAACUCACCAGAAAUAGUGUCCAUCGGGCUGGUGUGGGACUCGGAUCAUUCUGACCUAGCAGAGGACGUCAUCCACAGCCUGGGAACAUGCUUGCGUCUGGGAGAUUUGUUUUACCGUGUUACAGAGGAAAGGGCUCGCCAGGCGGAGCUCUACUUGGUGGGCAUGGUGUGCUACUACGGCAAGCACUACUCCACCUUCUUCUUCCAGACCAAGAUACGCAAGUGGAUGUACUUUGACGACGCCCACGUCAAAGAGAUCGGCCCAAAGUGGAAGGACGUAGUGUCUCGCUGUAUUAAAGGCCACUACCAGCCCCUGUUGCUGCUCUACGCUGACCCCCGUGGGACGCCGGUGAUACUGCAGGAGAGCCCCAACCCGUGUACUGGCUCCAACCCGCAGCUGGAGCUCCAGCACUGCAGCAGCAAAGCUGGUUACGACAGUGAGGACUCAGGUCGGGAGCCAUCCAUAUCCAGCGACACUCGCACCGACUCUUCGACGGACAGCUCGAGCCACCGUACGUCCCGCAGCCGACCCUUGCACCAGUCCACGGGCAGCCGGCUCUCCAGUGAAUCCCAGACUACAGUGGUCUGUAGCCACGACACACCGCCACUUAGUGCUGACACUGGAGAGUCAGCAGUGGAUCCUCCAACCCGCCACCCCUCUCCUCCCCUGCAGGAGUACAAGGAGACGGCAGUCUUCCUCCUGUCUUCACGCAGGCCCCUCACCUCCUCCUCCUCGUCCUCCCGCCCCCUCUCGUCUUCGUCUUCGUCUGGAGUCGGGGGCUGCGAGGGCGGGGCUGGGGGUCCCCACUGGGAGGAUGAAAGCACCAGCAGUGAGAGCAAGUCCAGUUCUUCUGGAAGCCGUUAUCGGCCAACCUGGAGGCCCAGGAGGGAGGCUCUGAACAUUGACAGUAUCUUCACCCGACAAAGAGACUCCUCUCUGGGCUACAGCACUGCACCAGGGUCCUCUCUUCUUCCUGAGCCUCAGCAGUCCCUCCCCUUUGUGGGACCACAAUCAGGACUGGAAAACACAGAGGGAAGGGAGACCAGGGAGGCCGGGUUUGGGCUGGUUGGUCAGCCCAGGUUUUCCAGUGCAGGGCGGACUAUGGGUCCUCCUGUUCCUCCACCUCUGAGAGGGGUGGAGCACCAGCCACGUCUGAUCCAGAGAAUGGAGAGUGGCUACGAAAGCAGUGAGAGGAACAGCAGCAGCCCUGACAGGGAGGUGGGGCAACAAAAACGGGUGCUGAUGUCAGGACCGUCAUGGCGAUCGGUGCCCAAGUCGAAAAGCAGUGGUGCUAUCACACAGGAGCUGCCACACCCCUGCUGGGUAGGCGGCUGUGCCACAGGCGCUGGCCGCAGUGAGCUUGAUGAGCUGCAGGAGGAGGUGGCGAGGAGAGCCCGCCAGCAGGAGCAGCAAAAACGCAAGGAGGCUGAGCAGGAAGCAGCCAUGGGAUUCAACCCCAGACCCAGCAAGUUCAUGGAUCUGGACCAGCUGCAACACCAGGCUGUGCUAAGACCCCUGCAUGAGGCUAACGCUCAUAGUGGAUUGGCUGUAGCUGCGUGCAUGAGGAGCACUGGGGGCCCAAUCAAACGCAGGCAGGAACAGGAAAUGGAACAGGACGCGGGACGCGCCCAUCCACAGGGGCCUCGCAGUGAACAACCUGGCUCGGUCCAAGUACUGCUGACGCCCAAUCAGGAAGAGGAAGAAGACGAGUCGACGACCAGCCGACACGCUGCUCAGGGUCAAAGCCCACCCCCACCUCCUCCACCUUACCACCCCUCUCUCCCUCGACCAACGCUCACCCUUAGUAUUAGUCACCCCUGCAGCCCGUCCAGUCAAAGGGAGGAGGAGGAGAAACGAGAUGAGGAGUGUGAGGAUGGAAGCGAGGGGAUGGGGGUGAGGCUAUGUGAGUUACUGCAGGCUGGGGGUGUGAGUGUCAGACCUCUAGGCAAGCACUUGGCCAUCUCUCUACCCUCACUUCCUCUUCGUCUCUGGGAUACACACACCUCACACUCUGCGCACAACCCGCCACCGCCCUGUUCUCCUCCCCCAUCAACCCCUCCAGAAUAUUACGGGCAAAGGAAACACCUCACGCCGCUCUGGCAGCCGCCACGACCACAUUCUCCCGAUAAUAGGUCUCCCCAUUGGCAACAGCACGCAGUCCUUGCAGACGGAAGCACGCGUCACUGGUCCUCUUGGAGUCUGGACCGCCCGGAUGCUGUGGUAACGCCAUAUGACACGCCCCCGGACCGCUGCUUUCCCAUCAGACCACAGAAUCUUGGUCAGAGCUGCAGCUACAGUUCUCAGUCUUCUCCAGGGCACUACAGCUCCCAGCAUACCCCUGGGCAGCAGGGUGAUGUCCGCUGUGAACGUGAAGAGACUGAGCUGUCUGAGCUGGACUCCCUUUAUCAGGCCAGUCUGCAGGCUGGGAGAACAGGCUGCAGCCCAUCUGAGAGGCUGAUAUCCAGGAUGGGAGUUCAGACGCGCUCCAAGACCCCCAGCGCAGACAUGGAGAGGAGCGCGUAUGGGGCACACAGCACCAGCAGCCCCACCUACCUCAACAAGCCAGUGACGCUGCGGGUGGAGCCUGAUGAUGGGGAGAACCAGAGGCGAAUUGGACGCAGCCUGAGCGGCACGGUGGUGACCUCCCGCCGCAGCCGCCUCACUGCAACCCGCAGCUUUGUGAAGCAGGCUGAUGUCAGUGCCUCUCCUUGCUUACUUCCUCUCUUCUGAGUCCCUGUUGCUAUUCCACCACCAUCACUUCCUCCAUCCUCAUAAUCAACACCUCCUCAUCACCACUUCCCUUCACUGCUUUACAGGAGCUGUCGGGUGGUGCUGGAAGUUUCUGGCUGUGUCUGACAGGAGUCAAGCUGUCCUCGGACCAGAGCCCUGCUCUGUUUCACUGAUAUCCCACCCCUGCCCUCCUCUGUAACCUCCCCACGGGACGGC